UCAGCCGCCGCGGUAAUACCAGCUCUCCGAGUGGUGUGGACGUUUAUUGGGCCUAAAGCAUCCGUAGCUGGCUGAACAAGUCCCCUGUUAAACCCACCGAUUUAAUCGUUGGCGUGCGGGGGAUACUGCUUGGCUAGGGGACGAGAGAGGCAGACGGUAUUCCCGGGGUAGGGGUGAAAUCCUAUAAUCCCGAGAAGACCACCAGUGGCGAAGGCUGUCUGCUAGAACGCGCCCGACGGUGAGGGAUGAAAGCUGGGGGAGCGAACCGGAUUAGAUACCCGGGUAGUCCCAGCUGUAAACGAUGCAGACUAGGUGUUUGGACGGCCACGUGCCGUUCUAGUGCCGCAGGGAAGCUGUUAAGUCUGCCGCCUGGGAAGUACGGUCGCAAGGCUGAAACUUAAAGGAAUUGGCGGGGGAGCACAA
This 423-nucleotide ribosomal RNA is filed under the name uncultured archaeon. RNAcentral describes it as "bacterial SSU rRNA". It matches the Rfam family "Archaeal small subunit ribosomal RNA", at positions 458 to 881 of the family's 1478-position model. The record is from RNAcentral.